RNAcentral lists this small RNA (15043 nucleotides) under Caenorhabditis elegans. RNAcentral describes it as "Unclassified non-coding RNA R07C3.18". The record is from RNAcentral. Lineage: Eukaryota; Metazoa; Nematoda; Chromadorea; Rhabditida; Rhabditidae.
GAAUUCUCCUUUCUCACCGAUGCCCUUUGAUUCCCGAAAAACUCGUUCCGAUCUUCAUCGAAAACCUGCAAAUCGAGCACAACAGCAUAAUAAUCAAUAAGACUAUGUAUGACUUCACUAUUCACAAGGAUAUUACACCUAUUGGAAGGCCCGACCACUAUGACCUAGACGAGUUUGGUGCGGUGGAUCUGGACUCUGUAGUGGAGCCGCACAACGAUGAAAUUCUGAUUGAUACACGAAAUGUGUUUUCUGAGCAAGUGAGAAUUAGCGGAGAGAUGCGGGAUAUUACAUUAGAAUCUCGGCGAAUCGCAAAGAUUCAAGAUGACGAUCAGCGAGCUCUUCAACAGAAAAACCUUGAUCAAAGGGUUCUGAUGCACGGAGUCAAUGCUCUUCGGCUAAUUGCUCGGGAGUGUCAAACAGAACUCACUGGCUUUCCAGUCCCGGCAGUUUAUUCCAUGAAGUUUGGAAUUAAUAAACUUGAACCUAGACGACACGUGAUUCAUGGAGAGCUUCUGACUUACAAAAGAAAAAUACAUGAUGCUAUGAAACACCUGAUUGUGAAGCUAUUUUGUGGAAGAUCGAGCUUCAAGGUAAAAAAUCUGAAAAUUGAUUCCAGGGGUAUUCUUCGAAUCCCCAAAUCUUUGAACCUCAAAGUUCAGCAUCUACUGAUACCAAGUGAAGAAUUGGAUAAGAUCCUUGAAGCCAUCCGCCCUAAUUUAAGUUCCUUGGAAUCCUUGGAAUCAUUGACUAUAGAAAAGACCUAUGAAUUUCAAAAUCCGAUGGUUCAAGCUAUUCCCCUAAUUAUUCUUAAAUAUGGCUAUGGAUAUCAUACUCUUUUGAGAAUCAACACCGGAUACCCUAGAAUUCAUGUCACGCACUCUAUUAACAGAAUAUCAGAGACUAUUCGAAUAUGGUUGGAGGAGGGCCGGGAAAUUGGAACUUGCUGGACGUUUGAAUCUGAACGAAAAGCCGAAGGAAAAGUUUUCAUGGCGGAUUUGAAGAAAGAUACUCGAGGCACGACUUUGGAGGGGUAAGGACUCUUACAAUAGUUCAAAGUUAAAUCACUUAUUUUUCAGGCCACCAGGAUCCUUCCCUACUAUCAUUUUUCGAAUGAGUGACUCUACGGAGCUCCGCGUAACUUACGAGUUCAGCAAAAUAAUCAAUACCGUCUGGAAUAUUGCCCUUACAAUUCAUGCGAGCAGUCAAUGAAGCCAGAAAACUUGUUCAGUAUAUUUUUUUGAAAACUCGUUUAAAUAAAUAAUUCCAUACAAGACUUUUUAAAUUCUGGCAGCCAAACUUCCCAUAGAAUGCACCUAGGUUUCCUUCCUACUGACCUAAUUUCCCAGUUACACGGAGCGAGCCCUGACCAGUCGAUACAUUUGCGUCGACGUCUCCUCGCAUUCCACCCUUUUUGCCACUCAAAAAUGUCUACUGCAAACCCGCUAUCCUACUCGAGUCUGAAAUGUGUUAUUGGAUGGUUGGAGUUCAAUUUAAGGUGAGAUCUUUGUCUUCUGGUUUUCCGGUUUUCUAUUUUUCAAAAAAUGCUUUUAAUGUUCAGAAUCCAACUCUCCCUACGCUGUCCAGACCUACGGUGUGCGGAAAAAUCCGCGAAUCUGCAUCUCAAAAAUCUCGAACUGUCCCAAAACAGUGUGAUAGUCAAUGGAACGAUUUAUCGAUUUUUUGUGAUCAACUCAACAUGCAAAGAUAAACUUCCAUAUGACCUCGAUGAGUUCGGUGCGAUGGAUUUUGGAGCAAUCGCAAACGAUUCUUCGGAAGUUUUAUUUGAUAGUAGAGAAGAGCACACUGAGCGUUCCAGAGUGGCUAGCAAAUUGUACAGUUUGAAGCGAGAACCAGAGAGAAUCGCUCAAAUAGAGGAUGAAGAAGUUCGAGCUGCAGAGCAGGAAAAAUUCAAUGAAAAAGUACUUGCUCACCAGGCAAAUGCUCUUCGUUCUAUCGCUCGCUUGAGUAAAAGCCAAGUUCCACUUGAAAUACAGGAGGCUGAGCCACUCACCCAGUAUCUAAAAUUAGAGUCUGGAGUACUACAUCCACGGCAGCUCUGGUUUUCAGCGCCACCGAUUCUUGGAGAGAAACGGGUGGAGGUUUUGAAAUAUUCUAGACGGCUUCACAGCGCUGUGAAGUAUCUGGUGGAAAACUUGAUCGGCGGUAGAGCUCAAGUAAACAUUCAAAAACUGUCUAUCAAGCCACAAGGAGUACUUCGGUUACCGAAAACUUUAAAGUUCAAAAUCUCGGAACUAGAUAUAGGAUGUUGGGAAACCGAGAAGUUGCUCAACACAAUCAAGCCGCUGCUCACAUUCUCCAGCUUCCCACUGAAAUCCCUGUCCAUUUACGGAGACUCUCAUUUUGCGGACCCCAUUAUUCAAAUUUCCCGGCAACUUUGCAUCAGCACACAGGUCGCAAUUGCUAGGUUAGCUAAUCUGCGAUAUGGCCAUCGAAAUGUUUUCGUGAAGAAAAUGAGCAAAUAUAUGAUUAAUGAUUUUUUGAAGUUGACCAAAAGUUUCGUGGAAAAUGGACGGGAUCUUGGAUCGGUAUAUAGUUUUACCUUUACAAAGGAGUAAUUAGCCAAAGUUUGUUUUGAGGAUGCUCGAGAUUUUGCGGAGAGUUCUGGCAAAUUGAGAAGGUAAGCUUAUUAGUUUUAAUACGGUAGUGGUACUGUAGAACCACUCUAGUGGAUCUGUAGUAUUACUGUAGUGGCACUGCAGAAUUACUUUAGUGGAACUGUACAUAAGAUUACUGUAGAGUUCCUGUAUGACAACUGUAGCGGUACUGUAAGAUUACUGUAGAGGUCCUGUAAAGCAAUACUGUAGGAUUACUGUAGGUGUCCUGUAUGAUAACUGUAGUGGCAUUGUAAAAUUACUGUGGAGAUCCUGUGUGAUAUCUGUAGUGGUACUAUAGGACUACUGUAGUAGCACUGCAGGUUCAAUCUAGUUGAACUGUAGGAUUACUGUAGCUGCACUGUAAAAUAACUCUAGAAGUUAUGUUGCUGUAGAAAUACUGUUCCUGCAGGAUUGAUGUGCACAUUUCUCACGAUUCCUUGUUUGAUUUUCAGAUCGGAACCAUCCCUGAUCGUUGUUCGAAUGAAGAACACUGCGGAACUCCUUAUAACUCUACAAGCAGAGGAAAACCAGGAGAAUCAUUGGAUUGUGAAGUUGGAGGUUCAAGAAAUCAGUGGUGGCAAUAAUAAAAAUCCACUGGAGUAAUGCUUGUUUUUAAGACAAUAAAGUGUUUUUGUUUACUGCAGUGGAAAAAUUUUAAAUUGCUCAAUUUUAGAAUAAAAUAUUUAGUGUAAACUUUUUGAAUGGUACUGUGGAAGUUCUGUAAGUUAGUCUGCAAAUUUAUUGUAAAAUAAGAUAAAAAUUAAUCCAGAUCACUUCUAUAAUCCGCUGCAUAUCUGUAACCAUCAGAAUUACACGGAUUGCACUGGAAGGACACUUUCAGCACGUUAGUAUACGAACUGUAGUACUUAUAAACGUCAUCGUUAGUAAGUAUUGCGAAUGGGCCGACGUCAUCAAUUGCUCCGUAGAGCAUCAUUUUCAAAUUAGAAGAGUCCAUGAUCAGAUCCGUGAAUCGAAUUUCAGGAAUGGAGUUUUGUGGUGCAACAAUUAUGUAGGUGCAAGGAAUAGGAGUUCCAUAGUGUUUGUGCGCUAUGAACUGAAACCAAAUUUCCUAGUUUACUAAUAUUUCGACACGCCAAAUUUGCAUCUUGGAAGAGCAUCGGUGUAUUGAGCAACUGAAAAUUCAAAUUUAAAUUUUAGAAAUCAUUCAAACAACUCACCUUAACACAAGUUGCAUUAUUAUUGAUACUCGUGAACCCAUCGCGACAACGUGCUGGACUACGUGGAGUUGUAGUUGUACUUCUUAUGUAGGUGGUGGUGAUAGUUUCAAUAGUUACGGUACUACUCGGUAAGGGAACUUGACAUAUAUAUCCCAACAGCGCGUUUUGAUUAGACACCCAUUUUCCAGCGAAACUUCCCGAUUGCAACAGAGAUACAUGUUGUCUGACGCUCACAUCGGGGUUGCCUGAAGUUUAAGUUUUACAACUUUACAACUUUUUAUCUGUGUUCACCUGAAACUCGAAUUCAAUCUUAGAAAUGAGUACACCUACUAAUUUGCACACAAGUUUGAUCAUUCAAUAGAGAGAAGCCACUGGGGCAGCCAGAAUAGUCACGAGUAGUUGUGGUUGGUGUUGUUUACCAAUCAAAAAGCUUUGAGGGAGAAAUUGCCCCGAAUUGCAGAAGAAAUAAUACGAAAAACUUCAUCUCGCGACUUCUUUUUCAGAAAUCAAAUGGCUUUUACGCAAAUUUUCAACAAGUCAUAAGCCUCUUAACUAUGAUUAUCAGCUUCUGAUAACGAUUCUUUCGAAAUAUCUAAAUUUUGAUGUGGAACCGGACUAUGAAGAGAAUCGAAUGAUCAGUGUGUUGAAAUAUGUAAUACUGUAUGAUUAGAACUGAAACUAUGUAGUACUACUGUAAUAUUACUGUACUUGAAUUGAAAUUUACAAAUUAAAGGUUCCCAGGAAUACAUAUUACUGGAUUGUGAACUUGGAUGUUCAUGAAAAUCAGUGGUGGCAAUCUAAAUUCUCUGGAGUGUUUCUGUGGAAUAUCGCUACAGCUUGCAUAAUCAUUCAUUCAGAAAAUCAACUCAAGAAAGAUCAGUUCCAUAGUUUACUGCCCAAAUGUAAUUGUCAAUAGUAGUUAACGGACAGUUGAACACGACUCUAAGCACGUUUGUAGUAGAGCUAUAGACCUCGAAAGUGUUUUCGGUAACUAUAGCAAGUGGCUUUGUUUCAUCUAUUCCUGAGUAGAGAACUAUUGUCCGUCCCAAUGGAAGGUGUAGCUCCGCGAAUCGAAGCUGAGCAAUGGUUCCUGGAGGCUCAGUGAUUAGGUAGGUGCACGGAUUUGGGUAGCCGGAAAAGCCAUAAGAGUAGUUCGGAGAGUAGAACUGCAGUUGCGUGUAUUUUGAAGUGUCAUAGAGGUCUGAUUUCACUCACCGUUCCUUUUCCAGAUAAAAACUGAGUUUCAUUACAUUGCCCAGAGACAUAAGGUGCUGGCGUUGAAAAAUGCUUUGGAUGCUUGCAGAUAAAUGGAAUCUUAUUGCUACAGUCAUUGCUCAACCAUUGCCCCUUCGAAACCACACUCCCACUCAUCGACAGGCUUGAGCAUUUUCCGAGGUUUGUGCCAAAAUACCCAAAGUUGGAAUAAUCGAAGAAGCUCCCGUCAACCCAAUAUUUUCCUACUCCAUCAGUAGCAGCUCCAGUUCUAAACUCAUCAAUCACCGUAUUGCUGAUCAAGGACUGGAUGAAGUCGUUCUCAGCCUGGGAGUGAAUUGACACCAAGUCUUCUGAAAGGCUCAGGCAGAAUUCCCGGGCGUCAGGUUCACUGAGCAAGUAUGUGUUUACUGAGUAGCAAAAGUGAAAAAUCAAAAUUAGCGGAGUUUCAGCAGCCGACACAUUACUUGAUUUGGGCACUUCGCAAAAGAAGCUGUGAGUGGAGUAGUCUUCAUCCGACGAGAACCACUUCCCUAUAUCACUUCCCAAGGCCCACAUGUAGCCGCGCGGUCCUCUAACAGGUUUUGGAUAUCCGCUAGUAAAGUUGUUAUAGUUGCUAGUUGUUCCAGAGCCAUCAGUCCAUUCGCAGGAGGAAGGUGACGGAGAUUGGCAGGUCAAGCCGAGCCAAAUUGUUUUGGUCUUAUUGUUGAGGGCAGCAAGGUUCAAGAGCGCCGUGUUGUCCUGAAAUUGGAAAUUGAAGAUUAACACUUAAGUCCAUACUUUAAAAAUAAUUACCUCUGCACUAUGAAUUGAAACCAAGUUGCCUCCGCCACUAAUAUUCCUACACACAAGGUUUGCACCCUGGAAGAUCAUCGGCGUAUCGAAUAACUAAAAAAUGUUUUAUUAAUUUGAUCAGAAGCCUCUGUGAAACCUACCUUAACACAAGUAAUGUCAUUGAGACUUGAGGAUCCCGCUGGACAACGUCCUGGAGCUUCGGGCGUCGUUGCAGGUGCUCUGGUGGAUAUGGCGGCGGUGGUCGCUGUAAAUUUUUUUUUCAGAUUUUCAGAUGGUUCUACAGAUAAAUUCUUACUCUGCAACUUCACAAAUAUAUCUAAACUGCGAAAAAUCAUCAGCGGACACCCACUUUCCAGCCGCGCUGCCCGAUUGCGCCAUCAACGUGUAAUUUCCGGCAUACAAAUUCGGGUUUCCUGGAAUAUUUUUUUUUCUAAUUUCAGCAUCCAUUUCUAGCUGUCACAUUUUACCUGCAUCAAAGUUGUUAUAGUUGGAGGUGUCGGAACUAUGGUCCGUCCAGUUGCAUGGCUUGUUGGCGUCACUGCAGAUCAGCCCGAUCCAUUUAGGAUCGUAUGAGAUUGAAGAUUGAACAAGUGCUCUGUUGUCCUGAAAAGAUGAUAUACCGGAUGCUAGCAGCAGACAUCUAGCGGGUUGCUCAACUUACAAUCGAAUUAUGAAUUGACACCAAACUCCCACCGGAGAACAUUUGACAUGCGGCCAAUGCAUCUACGAACUUUUUUUAUUUGCGCUCACCUUAACAAGGACCAACUAUAUUACAGAAAAUAAUAGACCUACUAACCUGUAUACAGGUGUAACCAUUGAGUUCGGUAAACCCAUCCGGGCAAAAGGAAUAGCUGGAAGUCUGUGUAAAGUGCAGGAGAAAAAAUGAAAAUAAAAUGAAAAACUUCAUCCUGUGAUUGCUUGUUCAGUCAGCGAAUGACUUUUACGCAAUUUUUCGCGAGUGAUAAGCCUCUUAUUCAUUUUUAAUCAGUUUUUGAUAACGAUUCUUCCGAAGAAAUUUGAAAUUUGAUGCGGAGUCGAACUAUAAAGAAAAUCAAAUGAUCAAUGUUCAGAAACGUUUUUUUUCUUCAAAAUUAACUUUUUGAUCGAGAAAAAAUGGUAUUAUAAAGACGGAUGAAAAUUGAACUAUUCAGCUGAAUCCCUCACAGUUUGACGUCCAAAAAUUGCGGGAAACUUUUUCGUGAGGCCUAUUGCAUGACGUCAUCUUUAUUGUGUGCACGGGUUUAUUGCUUUUCCUAGUGCCCGCGAAAUCGAGAUUCGAAUUUUUAUCGGGGAAGACAAAUUCAACAGUGAAAACCUAGGGCCCCCAGCCACGACGGCACGCUCUUUUCAAUGUGCUCUUUUUCUCAGCGCAUACCACUCUCCACGUCUUUUCCACUCUUCAAGAAUGCAUUAGGGCGCGAUUGCUAUCGCCCGUGCGGGAAAAAAUUUGACGGGGGAAAUAAUUAGCCCGUGCGUGUGACUGGUAUGAAUGUGACACGUGGUGUCAGGCUGUCCCAUUACGGUUUGAUCUACAAAAAAUGCGGAAAUUUUUCGCCCAAAAAAAUGUGACGUCAACACGUUCUUAACCAUGCGAAAUCAGUUUAAAACUCUGCGUCUCUUCUACCACAUUUUUUGUAGAUCUACGAGGAUCUAACCGUGAUGGGACACCCUGACACCACUGUGCUUGGCCUCUUCCCUGUUUCCCCCUCUUCCCGGCUCGGCUGGAAACGCGCACAGAACGUAUAAAUGGACCCUAAAAAUCAAUAAGUAGGUAGCUAGCGCGUUAUACAUGUUCUAUUCUUGUUUCUCUCAUUCUUUUCUCUGUACAAUCCCUGGAUUUCUUACGUUCCCCACUGGAUUCUCUAUGCAAUAAUUUUUGUUUCAGAUUAUGCUGCUCGCUUAUCAAUCUGUCAUAGCCUCUAUCACUUAUUUGAAUCCAAAUAUCAGGUUUAUUUUUUUCGAUUUUCAACCACUUACAAAAAUAAUUUUUCAGAUUCCAACUGUCCCGUCGUUGCCCAUCACUAAAGUCUGCAGAAAAAUCAGCACCUCUUUUUAUCAACAAGCUGAAAUUGUGUACAAACAGCGUAGUUGUUAACGAUAUCAGCUAUGAGGUUGAUGUCUACAAAACCUCGGAAGCGGUAUUGCUGACGUAUAAUACAGAUUUGGAUGUGUUUGGUUCCAUCGAUUUUGAUCUGGAAAUUGAGGAACAAAAUGAAAUAUUACUGGAUCACAGAACGUACAUGGCUGAGAGAAUGAGAUUGGAAAGAGAAGUUCUAGGUUUGAUGACACACUCUCGAAAUCCGAAUGCCGAUUUGAGCCGACUAAUGGAGAUUAAUAGAUUGAACAAAAUUCGAAUUCAAGCUCGGGAGGACAGAAGGGAAGUACCCAACACUCCACCGGAGCCUCCACUUGUACAGGUCAUUGAGUUUGCAGUCAUGGAGACGGAUAAUUAUGGCGACUGUUUAGAAAAUGAGCAGCUUACCUAUGAUCGAAAACUUCAUGAUGCUGUUAAGUAUAUCAUGGAGAAGCUUUUCUGUGGCCGAAAGACUCCGGUUCACCUAUCUACUUUAUCAAUCAAUAGUUUUGGAAUUCUACGGAUUCCAUUAAACAUGAGAUUCAAGAUCCGACAUCUGAAGCUGGUAUCUGGUCAUGCAAAUGAAAUCGCAAGCAAAAUUCGGCCGAUCAUUGAAGACUCGAGUUUCCCGUUGAAAUCUAUAAUAAUCAAGGAUCCAGUCGAGUUUGACGAUCCGAUCUACCACUCCACACAACUCCUCGUUCUUAGACAUCAGCUUGAGAACCGAUCACCAAGGUUUCUAAACGUCAAAGUUCUGCCAAAUCAAUUGUAUGUUACGACUAAAAUAUUGAAUUGGGUACAACAAGCCCGGCCAGUUGGGACAUGUUGGGAAUUUGUUGGAAUUGAUAAGAACUCAAAAAGGCAGUGCGUUCAAAAACUCAUGCAAAUACCUGGCGCGAUGCGUGCAUUGCACACAAAGUAAGUUUUUGCUUACUUUUAAUAUUCCAGUUGUAAAAUUUAUUUCAGGUUAUGUUGGAUCAUUCUACCAGCAAACGACGAUUCGGAAAUCCACGUCACUGUCGCUCAAGAUAAGAUAAAUUCGAAGCAAUUCAGCAUAAAGUUAACCGUUUAUUGAAGAUUUGUUGAAAUUUCAAGUUCUAAUAAAAUUUCUGAAUUUCUAAAAUUUUUGUGCUAGGGUUUCACGACUUUCGAAACAGUUGGUGUAGCCUAUGAUCUGUAAGCCGAAUCGAUGUUACCUCGUGUUAUUUUGGAAUAAUUUUUUUAAUACGUCAACACAAAAGUUAGAACACAAAUACAAUGCAAUAGACUGACAUCUGAAACUAAAUGACAUUUGACAACGUUAGGAGCUAUCUGAACGUUGAAUGAAUUAAACGGUAAGGGCCGGCUGGGGUUCUACAUUCAUUUAUUGGUACAAAUAGGAAAGAUAAAUAAUACAAUAUUGGAGAUGGUAUAUAUAGGUAGGAAAAAUAGGCGGAGCCAAGAUGCUGUGGUGUUAGGGAUAAGAGAGUUUGAUGGGGACAGAAAAAGGUGGGAGGAAAGUCGGCGUACAUCAAAGGAUGAUUGUUUUUGACUUAGACGUUAUUAACAAUUAAAACAAUAAAUAAAAAUAUAAUUCAAUUAUUAAUCCAUUAUUAAAUUCCUUGGCUUUUGCUUGAUUGAGGUAUGAAUCAUGCAAUGAUUUCAUACAUUGAACGUUAAACACAAAAUUGGGAAAAAUUCUACAAUAUAUUUGACUACAUAGGAACUGCCGAACAUUUUACGCAACUUUAUAGGACAUGGGGAAUCAAUUAGUAGUGUUUAUAGACAAGAGUGUUUAUAUGAAAAAGGCAAGUGAGCUAACAGACGAGUUGCACAGUUAUUCCGAAAACUUUCCAUUGGAGCACUUAGAAGCUGGUGGUCUUUUUUUACCGGAUAUUGCGUUUGAACUAAAACUGGAAUAUUCGUACAUUCAAAAGGAUAUGUUGCAUGCAAUUGUGGUUUAAACAAUAGGAAUACUCAUCAAGGAAAACGGAACUUUUAAAAUUAAUAUUUUGUCUUCACGAGUUGGUUCAAGAUGAUUGUUUUGACAAGCCACAUGUUGGUGAAAUCCUCGAUGAUUUUUUGCCGUUCCAAUGAUUUUUGGUCUGUAUCAAACCGAUCGAGAUUUACAAAACCGCAUAGAAACUUCUGAAACCAUUUAGUCUUUUUUUGUAGACUUUUCGAGAAAAAAUUCAAAAAAUUCAAACAAUGAGGAUCAUAAGAGUUCUUGAAUAAAGUGUAACUUAUGUGGUUUUUUGAAACUUUGUGAAAUCAUGGAAAAGAAAUUUCGAAGAAUUCAAGUCUUCAAGAUUAUUCCCAAGUUAUCCGUAGAUUCCUGGAAAAUUUCGAAGUGUUCUUAAAAGCUUCCCAAUUAGCGAACAAAGUCAAGACCCUCCAUGGAGUGUUCAAACGGCUGCUUGUAUGAAAUAAAAGACAAAAAACACAAUUCACACAAUUCAUUUCAAGACAUGGGACACUUUACAAGAAGAAGAAAGAAAGAAUGGGCAUCAAGAGAGCAAUGGUGGAGAACGAAGUAUUUGCUUCCGAUUUAGCUUCGAUUUCGGCAGCUUCAGCUUUACCCGCUUUGAAAUCAUCGGAUGAUUUAUAGUCAGAAGCCUUGAUUUCUUCACUGAAAAACACUAUUAUUAUUUUUUGCCUUAAGUAUGUCUUCCUCACUUUGGGCCAAGGAGGCAAAUAACUAUAUACUCAGCGGCACACUUCUUAAUAGAGCACCCAAGUUGAGUUUGAACCGGGUUGAUCCAGUGAAAACAAUUAAACUAGAAUUAGAACAUCUAUGUAUGUUUCUUGUUGUUAAACUAACCAUAUAAGCUCUCUCUUUUUCGUCCAUUUUGUCAAAGUCCAUACCAAACAAAGCAAGAAUUUUUGCAACUCAGAAGCAUGUUUUUUUGAGUUGGUUAAGUAAAAGUUUCCGCGGUCCUCGCAUGACAUCUUAUCUGAUUUCGCUCUGAGCGAUUCAUCGAUAGUCUUAAUUUCAAUAACAGUUAUUUUUUUCAAUUAAUAACAAACCAAGUUUUGCACAUUAGUGAGCUUGAAUACACUUUUAAUGUUGUCUCGAAAAUCUUUGACGUGUUGUUCCACCAUUGUGGGAGUGGUCUUCUCAUUCAACUCGAUUUUCACCCCGAACCCCUUACUCAUCUCCUCCAUUGAUUUCUUCGAUUGUUCCUGCAUUUCUUUCAUCUUCGCGUCCAUGUCACCGCCAGCCUUCAAUUCUUCAGCGGAAGAUGCAACUGUAAUAGAAAAUGAGAGAAGCCAACUUCUUUGACCGCAAACCACAAAGCAUGACAAGAAGAAAUGUGCUUGGAAGCAUUUUGAUGGCAGUAGACAUCGGCAUCUGCGUGUUCUCUUGAUUGAGAAGACUGAUUUGUUUCUGUGUUUAGCCUGCUUAUAUAGCAAAAAUUUUCUGAUCUUAUCUUUUUGACCUUCUAGAAGGUCAAAAAUAAAAAAUAAUAAUUCAGCUCGUUUUGUUUAUUUUUUUUAGAACACGUGAAACUGUGAAGUAUUUUCUUGCUGUUUUUUAUAAUUCUAUGUUGAAAUAAAUAAUUCGGUUUGCUAAUGAGCUUCAAGGCUUGAAAACUACAGGCCUUGACCUGGCUGUGGUUCUUAAUGUGGUUCUGAGGGAUCAUAAUUAAAAAGCUUCACGCAUUUUUAACUAUAAUAACAAAACAUAUCACUAUGAGGAAAAUUUAUGUAUUUUUUCUUAAUUUUCGCAUUUUUUGUAUUCUUGUUUGAAUUUUGGCUUGAAUUUUUGGAAUUCAUUUUUGGAUAAAUUGAAAUAUUUUUGUACAUAGAGAAGGAUCGACGAAUUUGGCGAGAUAAACGAAUUUCGCAAUGAAACUUUUCAAAAAUAUUUAUGGCGGAAAAAUAACCCCAAUUUUAGCUAAAAUUCUGAACUUUGCCAGCUUUUCUGGGUCGCAGCGAUCCUUUAUUGCUUAGUUUGGUAGUAUAUCUCUUUUUUUUCGUUGAUUGAAGUACAUAUAAAGACGAUAUAAAACCAAAAUCAUUGAAAUUGGUUACCUAUAUUUAUUAAAUGUAAUCUUAUCAACGAAAUAAUGCGAGAAAAAUUACCACACUAUGAAAUAAAAUAUGAUCAUUUAAAAAACGUCAAUCUCGGUCCGCUGCGACACAGAAAAGUGGGCAAAAUUCAGAGUUUUGGCUAAAAUUAGCGUAUGUUUGUUCAUAAAUGUGGAACGUUCGUAAUCGUACUAGCCUUCAGACCUCCUUUAACUCACUGCCGGAAACAUCGUCUAGGUCAAACUUUGGAAACAAGUUUGAAAGCCUGAUUUUCAAACUAAAUUUUGACUGAAAACUUGAAAUACUUUGAAACUUCAAUAUCUUUCGACUGUGAGUAUUUCGAGAGUCAAAAGAAUUUGGCUACAUUGCCUGCUACCGUAAAACUGUAAUUUCUUCCACUUUUGCUUGAACGCAAGGUUUUUUAACACAGCUAAGGCAUGGGUAAAUCGGUGGGAGUAGAGAAUUUACUUGCCCUGUAAGAUCUGGUCAUUUAUUUCUGCAGAAAGAAUUGUUUCCCAAUUCCCAUUUUAAUCAAAUUUUAAAAAUUUUAAAUUUAUUUUAAUAAAAUAAUAAAAUCUUGAUAUUCCACGUGAAGGUCAAGCAAAAAAUUAAAUAAAAGUCGAUGAGACCAGAAUAGUUUUGAAUAAAUUCAGUUCUUGUUUUAAUCAAGACAUCUUCGGCCGUCGUCUCCAUUGCAUCAACAAACACAGCUUCUGAUGCCACCUUCUACCGCAAGCUUCAGCACCAGAUGCACUUGUUUAUUAAGCCACAUGCCCAGAAAGUAGCAGCUUCAGCUGCAGAUGCUCCACACACCUGCUCGUGAAGUUGUACAACCAACGCACCAAUCUGCGAACUUGUUUUGGUUUGUAAUAAAAUUGUUUUUUUAUAAAAAAAAAAAAUUAAAAAAAAGACAUGGCUGUCUAUGUCUCCUGAAAACUCACAGUCUCUUGCCGUGACCUCUUCAAAAUAUGUUCUAUAUGAGAGGCCCCUUUGUUAUAGUGACGUCAUUUCUGUACUUCUCUAGGUUCUCUUCCUCUUUUGCUCGCCCCAGACAGUGUGCUCCAUAUCAUAUUUGAGAUUGAAAUCUGUGCUGAAAUAUUUUGAGACAAACCUUAGAUGCCAUAGAUCUUUAAAUAGGAGCCAAAUUAUAAACCGAUGCACUUCCUUCAGGUUCGAACUAUCCGUGCGAUGCCCUUUAUUUCCUAGUUUGUCAUAAAAUCUGCUUACUACAAAUCCAAAAGCUUUAUUGGGUCAAAUUAUAAUAAGUCUGCAAAUCAUAUUUGAGUUGAAAUUGUUAUAAAACAAUUUUAUGUGAAUUCAGUUUUUCCUAAAAUUUUACUUUUUGUCUUAUACAUAAACUUGAAAAGAAAAACUGAAAAAACACAGAAGAAAUAGAGUUAUUAAAAAUCUUCUCUGGGCUGUACUUUGAAGUUCAAUCUCCAUUCCUCUUGAAAUUCCUCGUAGUCGAUGGCGAGCUCAGAGAAAUUGUCGAUGUUCAUGGCAACACUUGGUGGCUCCAUUAACCUGUAAAAAAAUAAAAUUCACCGUUCUUUAACAAACCAGUACAUUUUCUACACUAAAAUACGUGAAACCCAGCUAGAAAUUGCAAAAAAAAAGCUCACCGCCUCGAUAUUGCCGGUCCGAAAUACUUCAAUAGCCGGGCAGAACUCGCUUUUACAUCGUCUUUAGACCAAUACGGUCCAACCGAAAAAUGGGUUCCAACUUCUUUUCCAUGCUCCAGCAAUGAUGAAUGAACUUGAAGGUCUCUCCGAUAUCAAAGUAUCGUGCAUGUACCCUUUUAUUAAAGACCAGACGCAUGCUUUUAAUAUCCGGAACAACCAAGAGCAGGACAUUUUGGAUUAUUGGGUGUUUGAUAUGUAGAUUUCUCAAUAUUCUCAAAGCUUUCAAUGGGAAGGUUGAAGGGUGGAAGAUCGAGGGGAGAGAUUCCAGUGUUUCGCGUAAAUUUCCAGUGUAAAUCUCCAAAGUAUCGGUGACAAGAUUCCUUGCGUUUUGGAAAGCAUCAAUAUCCAUUCUAAUGCAAGUAUGCUUUGCGAUAAUUUUCCUAUCUCCCAGAAUCUUUUUCAGCACAUAUGAUGGCAUCACUUUCCCGAAAGUCGUAUUUAAAGCCACUCGUUCAGUACUAGUACGACCAUCAAUUUCUAGCCCUAGGAGAACAUAUUCUUGACUUGAUUUUCUCGCCUUCCUAGUAGUUUUAGUUGUCUUGUAGUAAGUCUCAUUGAUUUUAAGAUUUUCUUGGUUCCAACAUAGCUCUCGAAUAUGUAAUGGAGAGGUUUUCUCACAAAGUUGGAGAGAUGGGCAUCGCAUGGAUAAUUGAAUUCUUAAGAAAGUUUAGCGGUUUAUAAAAUGCACAAAACUUUUGUCUCACCUUAAAUUUGGCUCCAAAUAUUUCAGUACAGAUUUCAAAUUCAAAUAGGAGAGUUGCAUGGUGAGUCGAUAUGAUUUGUGGAGGACACUGUCUGUGGGUGGAGCAGAAAAGAGCAAACUGUCAGCAGCGAGCAAAGUUCUGCCAAAUCAAUUGUAUGUUACGACUAAAAUAUUGAAUUGGGUACAUUGAUAAGAAGUCAAAAAGGCAGUGCGUUCAAAAACUCAUGCAAAUACCUGGCGCGAUGCGUGCAUUGCACACAAAGUAAGUUUUUGCUUACUUUUAAUAUUCCAGUUGUAAAAUUUAUUUCAGACCAUGUUGGAUCAUCCUACCAGCAAGCGACGAUUUGGAAAUCCAUGUCACUGUCACUCAAGAUAAGAUAAAUUCGAAGCAAUUCAGCAUAAAGUUAACCGUUUAUUGAAUAUUUACUGGAUUUUCAAAUUCUAAUAAAAUUUCUAAAUAAUUCUUACUGGGGUUUCACGUCUUCUCUGAACAGUUGGUGUGGCCUAUGUAAAACUCUGUGAAAGAUUUGUUGUCUAUGUCUCCUGAAAACACACAGUCUUUUGACGUGACCUCUUCAAUGUUGUGUGCACGUCGUCUGAGAGACAUUUGACGGCACUUCUGUUUACCUUCAGGCUCUCUUGCUCGCUGCUGACAGUUUGCUCUUUUCUGCUCCACCCACAGACAGUGUCCUCCACAAAUCAUAUCGACUCACCAUGCAACUCUCCUAUUUGAAUUUGAAAUCUGUACUGAAAUAUUUGGAGCCAAAUUUGAG